UACGUAGGGUGCAGGCGUUAAUCGGAAUUACUGGGCGUAAAGCGUGCGCAGGCGGUCUUUUAAGUCAGAUGUGAAAUCCCCGGGCUUAACCUGGGAACUGCGUUUGAAACUGGAAGGCUAGAGUGUGGCAGAGGGGGGUGGAAUUCCACGUGUAGCAGUGAAAUGCGUAGAUAUGUGGAGGAACACCGAUGGCGAAGGCAGCCCCCUGAGCUAACACUGACGCUCAUGCACGAAAGCGUGGGGAGCAAACAGG
Molecule: ribosomal RNA, 253 nt
Filed under: uncultured bacterium
Lineage: Bacteria
Description: partial 16S ribosomal RNA
Rfam family: Bacterial small subunit ribosomal RNA
Source: RNAcentral